AUAGCUAAAUUAGGAAAGCACUUCACUUACACCGAAAAGUUACUCGUGCGAAUCGAGUUACUCUGAUACUUAAAAGCUAGCUAAUGACCAUAUUUAAAGUAUUAACAUUCAUACAUAUUAAUUUAACAAAAGUAAAUAAUAAACCAUUCUCCACAUCUAGUAUAGGCGAUAGAAAGAAAACAAUAAGCAAUAAACCAAGUACCGCAAGGGAACGCUGAAAGAGCAAUGAAAGAAUUCAGUAAAGUAUAACGAAGCAGAGAUAAAUCCUCGUACCUUUUGCAUCAUGUUUUAACAAGAAUAAAUUAAGCAAAAUGCCUUCUAGUUUAAACCCCCGAAACUAAGUGAGCUACUUCAAGACAGCCUGGGAACAGGGCAAACACAUCUCUGUGGCAAAAGAGCGUGAAGAUCUUCAAGUAGAGGUGACAAACCUAACGAACUGAGUUAUAGCUGGUUGUCUGACAAAUAGAUAAAAGUUUAGCCUUUUGUUUUCUAAAUUUAAAUAUGUCACAACCACAGAAUACAAAAGAGUUAUUCAUAAGGGGUACAGCCCUUAUGAAAAAGGAUACAGCCUUACCAGGUGAUUAACGAACAUGUUAAACAAAGUUAGUGUUUUAGUGGGCCUAAAAGCAGCCAUCUAAAAAGAAAGCGUCAAAGC
This 655-nucleotide ribosomal RNA is filed under the name Pronothobranchius kiyawensis. RNAcentral describes it as "partial 16S ribosomal RNA". The stretch from base 252 to 655 matches the Rfam family "Bacterial large subunit ribosomal RNA", at positions 568 to 1141 of the family's 2925-position model. Lineage: Eukaryota; Metazoa; Chordata; Actinopteri; Cyprinodontiformes; Nothobranchiidae. The record is from RNAcentral.